CCAACUCUUCUAGCUAUGCUCUCUCAACCUCUAGCCAACGAAUUUGCCUUUCCCAUAAGCUCCUAAUCAAAGCCCAGCCACCACAAACAACAAAUCAGAAGCAUCAAAGGAUCAAAAUCAAGAAAUCAAAGCUAGAAAAGGUAAAAACCCUAAAUUCUAAAAAUCCUUCGAUUCGAUGUUAAUUGGUGCAAUUGAUUGUUUAAAGUUGUGUAAUAGGGAGUCUAUUAAUGUUCUGGGUUGUUAAAUUCAGGACCCAUAACCUCAAAGUGCACGAAUUUGAAGAUUUAAACAAGUUGGAAAAACCGAAUUCUGUUAUUUUUCACCAAAUGUCAGAGGCUAUAACUCUUUGGUCGAUCACGAGUUUUGUUGUUUAAAAGUUUUUAUAGGUAGCCUAAUAUGUGGUCUUUAAUCUCCAAAAGGAAUCAAGUUCAUAUAUAUUGUAAAUCGGGAUUUAUAAGCGGUCAAAGUGGGUUGACCGGCAUUAACCGGCUGUUUUUCAAACCCAGAAAAUAUUCUAAGUGUCCAGAAUUUUUUUUUUUGGCAAAUGUCAGGCCUUAUAUAUCGGUCAUCUUUAAUGUUUUUUGUGUUUUAAAGGUUGAUAUGUGUAGCUUGUUAUGUGUUAUUUAACCUCUAAAAAGAUACAGGUCCAUAUAUAUAUUAUGGAUUAAGACUUAUUUAAGGUCAAAGUAGGUUGACCGGCAUUGACCAGAAAAUUCUGGGCAGCCCAGAAUUUUCUAAGUGUUAAUUUUUCUGACAAGGUUUGACCAUACUUUAGAUGCUUGAUUUCUUGUUGUUAUGAUGAUGUUAAGUGUUAGAGUUGUAGUCCUACAUGUUGUCUACACACUGGAAUUGAUAGAUCACAUAAACGUUACACGAUCAUCAAGUUAUAGAGGUCCAAAGUAGGCACCUCGAACUGUUCUUCGUGAAGAACAGCUUUGGUAGCUACUUUGAUGGCUGAUUUAUCCCAGAUCUGAUGUUUGUUUAGAGGUUAUGAUUGUUGGAUCUUGUAGUCUUGUAUUUCCUCUACAAGACCCAAUUUAUAGAUUGUCCAAAUUCGUUAAGAUGAGAGAGUUAUUCACGGUCAAAGUAGGCCACUCGGUUCUGCCUUAUGAAGAUCUGGGUAGGCUCAAGAACACCUAUAGCGACACUUCUGUCACUAUAGGGGCCUUUAGCGACAGUUUUAAUUAUUUUAAUUUCUGAUUUUCCGAAAAAUGAUUUAAAAAUUAGAAAAAUUAGAUUUUAAUUAUUAAAAAUACCAAAUAAAUUAUGAAAAAUUAUUUUAAAGUCUGAAAAAUAGUUUUUAAUUAUUUUGAGUAUAUUUCAUAAAUAUUUAAUAUUUUUGGAAUAUAAAAGGUAUUUAUUUAUUUAAUUAUAAUAUUAAAUAAAUUAUUUAAAAAUAGUUUUAAUUCAUGAAAAAUCAUGAAAAAUUAUAUUAUGGUAUAAGAAAAUAUUUUAAGUUAUUUCCCAUGACUUUUAAUAUUUUGUGAUGAAUUUCAUUAAUUAAUUAUAUAUUAAUGAUAUUAAAGUUAUUUAAUGAUUAUAUUAAAUAAUUUAGUUUAAAAAUGAUUUUAAUAUUAUAAAAAUCAUUUUAAAUGAAAUUAAGGUAUUUAAAAAUAUUUUAAGUUAUAAAAUAUAACUUUUAAUAUUUAAAGGAUAAUUUCAUUAAUAAUUUAAUAUUAAUGAUAUUAAGAUAAUAUUAAUGAUAUUUAGUUUAUUUAAUAAUUAUUAUUAAAUAAAUAGUUUAAAAAUGGUUUUAUUUAUUUAAAAAUCAUUUAAAGAGGAUAUUAAGGAUUUAAAAAUAUUUUAAGUUAUAAUUAAUGACUUUUAAUAUUUGGAUGAAUAGUACAUUAAUAUUUAUAUAUUAAUGGUGAUUAUUUAAAAAUGAUUUUAAUUGUUUUAAAAAUCAUUUAAGGGUAAUAUAAAUGUUUUAAAAAUAGUUUGAGUUAUUAUAAAUAACUUUUAUAUUUUGGCAAUGGUUUCAUUAAUAGUUUAAUAUAAAUUAAUUAUUAAUGAUAAUGGAAUUGUUUAAUGUUUAAAUCAUUUAAUUAUGAUUCCGAUGUUUGAAAGUUAUAGCCGGCCAAACUAGCUGACUUGAGAACCGAUUAUGAAGUUAUGAAGUUUUGAGGAACACCUAUAGUAACAGUUAUAUCACUAUAGGCCCGGUAGUGACAGAUUUGAAUUAUUUUAAAUUUUUCAAUUUCUGGAAAAUUCGAAAAUGAUUAAAAAUAAAAUGUUUGAUAUUUACAGAUGUUGAGGUAUAGGAUAAGAGUCUUAGACUCAGUAUUUACCCGAUAAAGCUGUCGGUACGCCGACAAAUGUCAGACCCUAUAAUAGAAAGAAAAGACUUCUGUAAGAGCAUGGAUGAGAUAUUUGAAAAAUGUAUAAAAAUAUUUCAAGUAUAGAAUAUGAACUAAAAGUAUGAUCACUGCGAUUAUGUGAUGACGUGAUUAGACUAUGUGCUGACUGUAAUAGACAGUACUAUGUGUUAUGAUAUAUUGUUCUAAUCGAACGAAUGAUCUGAUUAUUGAUAGGUUGUGAUAAAGAGAUAAAACCUAAGUUGAGAUUUGUAAUCAGCAAAUCAGGCAAGUAUCUUACCUUUGCAUUUCCUUUAUGCAAUGGACAUGAGUAAGAAGUUUCAGAAUUAUUCUAUUCCUGUACAGAUUAUGUACGCUUUGAUUAUCAACAUGUUAGCUCAGAUAUAUAUUCUGUUAAGUUGAUUUCUAAAUGGUUAUACAAGUGUCCCCACUUGGAUAAUCAUGGCAUUUAUUCACAUGUUGAUAUACCUUUGUCAAUUACCCGUAUACAUAUAUGUUGAAUUACAUAUUAUUGUUGAGCAAGAUUAAAAACCUUCGGGUUUGGAACCAGGCAUGUAUGAACAUCCCGAUAAUGGGAAAAUUUUUAUGCGCUUCGGCGGACAAAGGGUGAGCGAUGAAUUUCGUUCAAGUUAUGUAGUAUUGAUCAAUACAGGGUACAACGGGGCUGAUCACCCUCCGUGCCCGUAAGUUAUGACGGUUUGCGGAUGAAUUUCUGCUAAACCUUUUCGAAAAUGAAAAACAAUGUUCAUAGUAUGUUUCUUAAACCCUAUUCAUGGGUGGAGCCUAAUUUCAAGAAAUUGAAAGAGAGUUGUUAUGUGAAUCUUUUAUCAGUACAGAUUACUUCACAACUUUUGAUUCGUUGUAGAAGUGUUAUGUAAAGAGAAUACUUAUAUUCUUUCAGCUUAUAUAUAUAAUUGCUAUUACUUGCUGGGCACUCAAAUGCUCAUCCUUGCUUAAAUUAAAUGUUUUCAGUUAUGUAUGAGCAACCUGAAGGCUCAGGCACGAACAA
This 3324-nucleotide long non-coding RNA is filed under the name Panax ginseng (ginseng). Its description in RNAcentral is "long non-coding RNA (PGIN_LNC002041)". Lineage: Eukaryota; Viridiplantae; Streptophyta; Magnoliopsida; Apiales; Araliaceae. The record is from RNAcentral.